AGAUAUCUUUAAUUAGCAAUAUGUUUAAAUAGUUACAAGCCUUUCCUUCUUGUGACAGUUUGAGUUGAAUUUCUAUCGUUUGCAGCCUGUCACUGUAAGGCACAAACAUGAUCACGCAAGAUGCGAUAGUAGAUUUAAGCCAGUUGUUUUUAAGUUCGUGUUUAAGGAGAAACUAACGAUGAAAACGGACUCGUUGACGGAGGAAAAGUUGGAAUGCAGCCUCUGGUGCUGUUUGAGCGAUCCCUCUCCCCGGGGCCUGGCCGCGCGCUGCUGUGUUCUGGAAGGGCUCAUUGUACAGUCAAGGUGGAGUCUUGAGGAUCCAUUUUCUGAGAUGGUGAUGGGAAAGAUGUUGGUUGUCAAGUGGAAUCUCAGCAGUCAUUUUCAGACAAAGUUAGAGAAAACAAGUAUGGAAGAUGCCUGAUUCUCAAAGAGUCAUCCAGUCUUGGGAUUACCGCCUACGUC
This 462-nucleotide long non-coding RNA is filed under the name Pan troglodytes (chimpanzee). Its description in RNAcentral is "lincRNA". Lineage: Eukaryota; Metazoa; Chordata; Mammalia; Primates; Hominidae. The record is from RNAcentral.